CUUUAGACAGCGCAACAGAGAGAAAGAGACUGUUUGUUUGGAAGAAAGUGAGAAAAGAGGACAAGAUUCUCUGCCUGUUCAUCCGGACACUUCUUGCAGAUCUCGUCCAAGCCCACCAAUGUAUUAUCAAUUUCAGAAUUUCAGGUU
Molecule: long non-coding RNA, 147 nt
Organism: Sapajus apella (tufted capuchin)
Lineage: Eukaryota; Metazoa; Chordata; Mammalia; Primates; Cebidae
Exons: 3
Source: RefSeq, a predicted model, not a curated record